Molecule: long non-coding RNA, 738 nt
Filed under: Cricetulus griseus (Chinese hamster)
Lineage: Eukaryota; Metazoa; Chordata; Mammalia; Rodentia; Cricetidae
Description: lncRNA (ENSCGRG00015035976.1)
Source: RNAcentral
UGUUAAUCUUUGUGUUUUUUGUUUGUUUGUUUUUGACAAGUACCCCUGCCUGUUGUGUAUGGUGUCUGAGAUUUCACUUCACCACACUUGUUGAUUAUAGGCAUGUGAAGACAGGGUACUACAUGGUGGGGGGGGUAGCAGAAACAGAUAGGAAUGACACAUCUUGGCUUCUACAAAGCUGGCGGUCUGCUUUGACAUAUCAACUUUGUGUCUCUCUUCCUCCUCCUAUCUUUUUGAGUGUUUCUGUGCAGACAGCCAUGGUAACUACUUCUCCAUGCCUGGAAAGCGUUAGCAGUCUUGUUCUUCUGGGAACACAACUCUGUACUCAUCCUCCGAACCAGAUGUGACUCAAGCCUGGGAAGACAAGUGCCAAAGAUCUGGUAUAGGUUACAUGAUGCCAGCAAAGCCAAUCAGAGGAUUUCUCAGGGACCGUUGCAUGGAUGGGAGGAGAAUAGUCCUUAAUGAGUGAAUUAUGAGAACCUAUAAUCUCUGCACUCAUUCCAGGCUGAGACAGAAGAUCCACCCCAUACCCCACCAAGGUUCAAGGCUUGUUUCUUAGCUGCUAGAGCCUUCACAAUCUCUUGUGGUGUUCUCGCCUCCUCAGACAUGACUUCAGAGGGAAAAAAAAUGAUUUAGGAAGAGGAAAAUCAAACUCUGCCUGGGGAGGCUGCCUGCUUGCUGUACGAAAUCACUCUCUGACAAGGAAGAAAAUGCUGUUUCAUUAAAAUUCAAAUAAGG